UGCAAAUGAUGCUAAACCAAGGCUUGUUUCUCAUAAGAUUCGCAGUUGCCGCCUAAUAGCUUUUGCACUGCCAGGCUUGAGAGCUGUUACUGCUUAAUCCUUCCUUGGAUGUCUGAUGCA
Small nucleolar RNA from Leersia perrieri, 120 nucleotides. It matches the Rfam family "Small nucleolar RNA SNORD14". From Rfam's summary of the family: U14 small nucleolar RNA (U14 snoRNA) is required for early cleavages of eukaryotic precursor rRNAs. NCBI's taxonomy places the organism in Eukaryota, Viridiplantae, Streptophyta, Magnoliopsida, Poales, Poaceae. The record is from Rfam.